ACUGCUCAGUAACACGUAGUCAACCUGCCCUGGAGACGCGGACAAACCCGGGAAACUGGGGCCUAUCCGCGAUAGAUGACCUCAUCUGGAAGGAGAGGCCGUCGAAAAGGGCGCACGGGUAUGCUCUGUGCGAACCGCUCCAGGAUGGGACUGCGGCCGAUCAGGCUGUUGGCGGGGUAAUGGCCCACCAAACCUGUAACCGGUACGGGCUUUGAGAGAAGGAGCCCGGAGAUGGACACUGAGACAAGGGUCCAGGCCCUACGGGGCGCAUCAGGCGCGAAACCUUCGCAAUGCGCGAAAGCGUGACGAGGCUAGUCCGAGUGCUUCCUGCUAAAGGGAGCUUUUCUCGGCUGUAAAUAGGCCGGGGAAUAAGGGGAGGGCAAGUCUGGUGUCAGCCGCCGCGGUAAUACCAGCUCCUCGAGUGGUCGGGACGAUUAUUGGGCCUAAAGCACCCGUAGCCGGUUCCGUAAGUCCUCUGUUAAAUCCAGUCGCUCAACGGCUGGUCUGCAGAGGAUACUGCGGGACUAGGAGGCGGGAGAGGCGGACGGUACUCCGCGUGUAGGGGUAAAAUCCUUUGAUCCGCGGAAGACCACCAGUGGCGAAGGCGGUCUGCCAGAACGCGCUCGACGGUGAGGGGUGAAAGCUGGGGGAGCGAACCGGAUUAGAUACCCGGGUAGUCCCAGCCGUAAACGAUGCGAGCUAGAUGAUUCGAUCGCAGUUCGCGAUCGAAGUGUCGCAGGGAAGCCGUUAAGCUCGCCGCCUGGGGAGUACGGUCGCAAGGCUGAAUCGUAAGAAGUUUUUCUUCUUGCGCAGUUCACUUAAAGGAAUUGGCGGGGGAGCAC
This 842-nucleotide ribosomal RNA is filed under the name uncultured archaeon. Its description in RNAcentral is "bacterial SSU rRNA". It matches the Rfam family "Archaeal small subunit ribosomal RNA", at positions 85 to 879 of the family's 1478-position model. The record is from RNAcentral.